RNAcentral lists this ribosomal RNA (469 nucleotides) under Flavobacteriales bacterium 'ARUP UnID 206'. Its description in RNAcentral is "bacterial SSU rRNA". It matches the Rfam family "Bacterial small subunit ribosomal RNA", at positions 27 to 504 of the family's 1533-position model. Lineage: Bacteria; Pseudomonadati; Bacteroidota; Flavobacteriia; Flavobacteriales. The record is from RNAcentral.
GGAUGAACGCUAGCGGGAGGCCUAACACAUGCAAGCCGGGCGGGAUCCCUUCGGGGUGAGAGCGGCGUACGGGUGAGGAGCACGUGUGCAACCUGCCCCUGUCUGGGGGAUAGCCCUCCGAAAGGAGGAUUAACACCCCAUAGGAUGUUCGCCGGCAUCGGCGGUCAUUGAAAGGUUACGGACGGGGAUGGGCACGCGCAGGAUUAGGUAGUUGGCAGGGUAACGGCCUACCAAGCCUUUGAUCCUUAGGGGGCCUGAGAGGGUGAUCCCCCACACUGGUACUGAGACACGGACCAGACUCCUACGGGAGGCAGCAGUGAGGAAUAUUGGACAAUGGGUGGAAGCCUGAUCCAGCCAUCCCGCGUGAAGGACUAAGGGCCUAUGGCCUGUAAACUUCUUUUGUACGGGGAUAAACCUAUCUACGCGUAGAUAGCUGAAGGUACCGUACGAAUAAGCACCGGCUAACUCC